ACUGUGCGGACAGUGGCCCUAAAGCCCCGCCCCCGUCCUGCAGAUCCAAUGACGGUGCCGCCCCAGUAGGACCACGCCCACAGCCCCGCCCCGCCCGGGCACCGCCCAAGGCUCCCCUAGUGCAGAGGCGCUGGGUUGGGGUACAGAGGCCUCGCGCUCCCAAGGGCGCGGUCCUGCUUCCGUUGUUGCUGGCCGGCGCUGUCCAAUACCGGGGAUGGACUCCCUGGACUCAAGACUGUGCCCUCUGGAGCCAAACCCUUGGUUCUAGAAGGCCCGGGGAAGUGGCUGCUAGAAGACCCAAUUCUUCAUAUUCACUGGGCAUCACUGGACCUACUAAGGGCUGUGUCAGGGGAGGCCCUACUAUGCGAAUGAAUGGGGCAUUGGAAGUGUCCACGUUGAAAUCUUACAAACUCAUGAGCGUUUUGAAGAGCUUAUAAGCUCUCCUAGAAGAGCCAGAGGAGAGACAGAAAGAGAGACAGAGAGAAACCGCAGUGUGUGGUCUGGGCACACCUGUAUUUGCUGACCAGCUAGGUGACUUCCAGAGAGGAGGUGGGGCUCUGACUCACUCCAUGGACUCAUACAGUUAUUGACCGGCAGGACUUCACAGGGUCUGGAGAUAACUGAGGGAAACUCUGUCCUUGUUCCCUUCAGUGAUUCAACAGAUAUAUGUUGAGCAUCUGCUAUGGAUUAAGCUCUGGGAAUUCAGCACCCCCUGGGUUGGAGCCUACAGCACAGUAAAGGGAAAGUCAAGAAAUCCAAGGUCCCAAGCACAAAGUGAUAUCCUUCCAGGUGGGUCAGUGCUAAGAUUCAGGCAGAUGAAGAGGGGGAUAGUGAUCUGGUGAGGAGAUCUUCAUUGUCCACGGAGUGUCAGCCCAGAAGGUACAGUGGGUCCAGGAGGGUUGGCUCCAAGCUGUGAAUGUGGGAAGGGCCCUUAGUAAGGCGGGUGAGGAGGAAGGACGUUAGUGGUAGGGGGGUCUUGGUAGGCAGAAUGCUCACCCUGAGGUGUCCAUUUUCUAUAUCUUUGGAAUUUGUGAAUGUUUUAUUACAUCGAAAGAGGAAAUUACAGUUGCUAAAUCAGUUGGCUUAAGGCUAUUAAUAUUUGAGAUAGGGUCUCACUCUGUUAUCCAGGUUGGUCUUGAACUUCUGGGCUCAAGUGAUCUACCUACUUCAGCCUCCAGGGUAGCUGGGACGACAGGCAUGUGUCACGACGGCCAGCUCAGUUGACUUUAAGAUAGGCCAUCCUGAAUUAUCUGGGUGGGCCCAGUGUAAUAACGGGGACCCUUAAAAAUAGAAGAGGAGACAGAAGGGGAGAGUCAAAGAAAGAGACAUUGUUCUAGAAAAAGGGCCAGAGGUUGCCUUGCAGCUGUCUUUGAAGAUGGAGGAAGAGGCCAGAAGCCAAGGAAUUUGUGUAAGGAAAUAGAUCCCCUCCGAGAACCCCCAGAAGGAACAUGGCCCUGCUGACACUGAUCUUAACCCAGUGCAACCUGCGUUGAACUUCUGACCCACAGAGUAUGAGGCUGUCCCUUGGCUGGGGACCCCAGAGUCCCUGAGGAGGUUCUGCUGAAUGGAUGAGAUCUUUGUGUAUACACCCAGCAUCGCUGCAGGGACCUGCAAUUAAGCAUUUCUAAAAUGGGACUCCAGUUACUAAAACCGGCUUUCCCACACAGCUUCUCAGGAUGCCUGCCAAUCGCAGCUCUUCCCUCCUGCUCUUCACCCGCUUCAGAGAACUGGACCCAGCAGAGGCUGGGACCGGAGAUGGCGGGGCACUCCGCCUUAGCCCAGCCCGCUCCCUGGGCCUUGGGCCCCUCUUUGGGAGUUGCGUGGUGGCAGGGCCUUGCCGGAGGAACUUUUCUUUAUGCCUGAAGUUUGGCUUCUGGCCCAGUGACAUGGGGGUUUCCAGAAUGGUGACAGCCCUGUCCUAGCAGGGACAGGCCCAGGCACUUCCUCCCAGAGCCUCUGGGAACGUCAGCCCCACGGCUGUCCCUGGGCGUAGGGAACAGUUGUGGAGUCAGCAGAGGCCGUCUUCAGUGCUUCCCACGCCUUCAGGGACACCAUGUCAUUAAUCUCGAAACCCAUCUUCUCCUUGCCUAGGGCUGAGCUGGAGCAGAGAAGACACAGGUGGCCAAGCUGGGCCCAGCCCUCAGAGAACAGCUAACCCCUCAGGAAACAAAUAACCAACUCCAAGACAGCAGGAGGUGUGCCUCGGCCAGGGCCUGUGCUAGAGGCAGCUCUGAAUCACCCUGGCUCAGGUGGAGAACCCAAGAGAACAGCCAUGAGAAGGAGUCAGAAGGGCCUGGAGGAGGUGACAAGUGAGCAGGGUGUUGACAGGUGAAAGGGAGUUUGCUGGGCCGAGAAAGGGAAGGACACUGGAGCUGCCAUCUGUGUCCACUGCAGGCAGAGCAGGAAGAGUCCUGGUGAAGGCAAAGGCACUGGGUGAUCAGAAGGCAAGAGAGGUCCAGCAGGCCUGUCCUGGGGGUCAGUCCAGGGGGUGGAGGGUGAGCACUGUCUUCCCUGCCCGGCAUCUGUCCCUUUAUUCCGGCAUCGUCCAAAAUACAAUCUUGCAGAGUCUCCAGCAAUACAGUGCCUACCCCGAGCUCUAAAAGUGGGUUUGAAGCUUGUUCUUGGCCACGCUGGGCCAUUCCUAGGCUCAGGGAUGGGCGUGUAACACCAAUGGGCAUCAGCCUGGGGACUUACUGGGAGUCAGGGUUACGAAUGCCUAGAUGCCAGCCCCCAAAGGCUGCUGGUCAUUUUUACCACCCUGAGGGGAGAGCCUGCUGGAGAACAAACAGAGCCAAGCAGAGCCAGAGACUGAAUCUCAGUGAUGUUGCUCGUAAGCUCCUGGAUCCGGUCAUGCCUGAAACAGUUUCCAUUGCAUAAACCAACAAAUUCCAGUUCUGCUUAACUCAGUUGGGGUUAGUUUCUGUUACUGGCCACUGAGAGGUAAAAUCCUACUACAGAAUAACUGAAGGGAGGUGAUAGCUCCUGAGAGUUUCUGGCUGCCUCGGGAAGCCUAUCGAGGGCCUGUGGCCUGAUACGACUAGCAGUUUUUUCAUUUGAAUUACUUUUUGGAUAAGGACACGAUUUCGUGUGGUUCAAAAUUCAGAAAAUUCAAGAGGCAAAAUCUUACCUCUGUCACCCACUUCCCCUCCUGGAGACAAUGGAUGUGACCAGUUUCUUGUACCCCUGCUAGAGUUGUUCUUUAAGUUCAACCAAAGCCUCGCCCAUCUUUUUGUCACAAAUAGCCAAUAUGUAGACAAGUACAGCCCCAAAGUCCUGUAGGCCCUCAUGGGAGCCAGGGGAGGGCUGAACCCCUUGUUGGGGGCCUCCACUAUCCACACUGGUCUUCACUUUGCUUUUUUUUUUUCUCAGUUAACAUUAUAUUUUGGUUUGAAUAUGCUUUCUUUCCUCAGCAAACUCAGUUGAAGUUUAAUCCCCGUUGUGAGCCAGUGUGGUGGUGCACGAUAAUCCCAUCAGCCCAGGAGGCCCAAGCAGGAGGAUCGAGAGUUCAAAACCAGCCUCAGCAACUUAGCGAGGCCCUAAGCAACUCAGCAAGAUCCUUUUUCUAAAUAGAAUGCAAAAAAGGGCUGGGGUCGGUGGUUAAGCAGGUUCAAUCCCUAGUACCCCAAAUAAAUAAGUAAGUAAAUAAAUAAAUAAACAAAUAGAUCCCCAUCGUGAGGCAUUGAGAGAGUAGAAAUUUAAUCUGACCAAAAAUGGAGAUAAGUCUUUGUGGGGUGAUUAGGAUUAAAGUCAUGGGGUGGGCCCUUCCCCAUGAUUGGAUUCUGGUGGCUGGUGAUCCAGGCUCAGGGAUGCUACUUCCAGCUACUUGGGAGGCUGAGGCAUGAGGAUUCCCAAGUUCGAGGCUAGCCUGGGCAACUUUGCAAGACUGUUUCUCAACAUAAAAAUAUAAAGAGGGGUUGGGGAUGUGGCUCAGGGUAGAGAUCCCCUGGUUCAAUCCCCAGUGCCACCUCCCCCACUGCACACACUCUCCACACUCUCUGUCUCUUGUCAUUUCAUACCCCAUGCAGCAUGGAGGCUCUGCCAGCAAAAGGCCAUCACCAAGAUGUGGCCCUUCCACCUUGGACAUCUGGUCCUGUGAGCCAAAUUAAACCUCUCUUCUGAGGACAUGGAGGUGGACACCUGUAAUCCCAGCCGGAUGUGGCUCACUGGUAAAGCACCUCCAAGAUCAAUUCCUGGUACAAAAACAAACCCUCUUUUCUUUAUUGCCUCCCAGUCUACGGUAUUGUAUGAAGAGUAACAGAAACAGAACUAGUGCCUCUGCACCAGGAUGAGGAGUGUGUUCUCCAGAUCACAUUUUUACACCUAUAUGGUUUUCCAGCUCAGGAGUAGACUGUGAGUCACGGAGGCACGUCUGGGGGGCGGGGGUGGGGGCAGCAAGUCAUGCUGUCAGUGCUGUUCCUCACGUGCCUGAGAGACUUCUAGCAAGAUGUAAGGGAGGCCCUGUACCGCUGUGCAGGCCUGUAAUCCCAGCAGCCCAGGAGGCUGAGGCCGGAGGAUCACAAGUUCAAAGCCAGCCUUAGCAAUUGAGCAAAGCCCUAAGCAACUUAGUGAGACCCUGUUUCAAGACAAAAUAUAAAAAGGGCUGGGAAUGUGGCUUGGUGGUUAAGUGCCCCUGGGCUCAAUCCCUGGUAUCAAAAAAAAAAAAAAAAAAAGGGUGAACGCGACAAAUCCUUCCCAAGCUCCCCCACCCCUAAGCCUGAGCCUCUGCACCCCUUCCCAGAGGCCU
Non-coding RNA from Ictidomys tridecemlineatus (thirteen-lined ground squirrel), 4744 nucleotides. Lineage: Eukaryota; Metazoa; Chordata; Mammalia; Rodentia; Sciuridae. The record is from RefSeq and is a predicted model, not a curated record.